AAAGCUGAUAGCGUGACCGUGCUUGCACGAGGAGCGGUAUCAGCUUUAGGGAUUCUAAAACCACAUGAGCAUAUAGUGGAAAUUUCCUGAAAUUUCCACGGAUGCGAAUGGGGUUUAGGAUUGCGGGAGCUGCUUGCAGCGAAGCAAUCCGUGAUA
This 156-nucleotide small RNA is filed under the name bovine gut metagenome. Its description in RNAcentral is "Clostridiales-1 RNA". It matches the Rfam family "Clostridiales-1 RNA", at positions 16 to 163 of the family's 166-position model. The record is from RNAcentral.